This 23-nucleotide non-coding RNA is filed under the name Canis lupus familiaris (dog). RNAcentral also lists the same sequence under 1 other name. Lineage: Eukaryota; Metazoa; Chordata; Mammalia; Carnivora; Canidae. The record is from RNAcentral.
AAUCGUACAGGGUCAUCCACUUU